RNAcentral lists this ribosomal RNA (253 nucleotides) under uncultured bacterium. RNAcentral's name for it is "partial 16S ribosomal RNA". It matches the Rfam family "Bacterial small subunit ribosomal RNA", at positions 524 to 776 of the family's 1533-position model. The record is from RNAcentral.
UACGGAGGGGGCUAGCGUUGUUCGGAAUUACUGGGCGUAAAGCGCACGUAGGCGGCUUUGUAAGUUAGAGGUGAAAGCCCGGGGCUCAACUCCGGAAUUGCCUUUAAGACUGCAUCGCUAGAAUUGUGGAGAGGUAAGUGGAAUUCCGAGUGUAGAGGUGAAAUUCGUAGAGAUCCGGAGGAACACCAGUGGCGAAGGCGACACGCUGGGCCGUACCUGACACUGAUGCGCGACAGCAUGGGGAGCAAACAGG